RNAcentral lists this ribosomal RNA (450 nucleotides) under uncultured bacterium. RNAcentral's name for it is "bacterial SSU rRNA". It matches the Rfam family "Bacterial small subunit ribosomal RNA", at positions 329 to 793 of the family's 1533-position model. The record is from RNAcentral.
GUCCAGACUCCUACGGGAGGCAGCAGUGGGGAAUAUUGGGCAAUGGGCGCAAGCCUGACCCAGCAACGCCGCGUGAAGGAAGAAGGCUUUCGGGUUAUAAACUUCUUUUCUCAGGGACGAAGCAAGUGACGGUACCUGAGGAAUAAGCCACGGCUAACUACGUGCCAGCAGCCGCGGUAAUACGUAGGUGGCAAGCGUUAUCCGGAUUUACUGGGUGUAAAGGGCGUGUAGGCGGGACUGCAAGUCAGAUGUGAAAACCACGGGCUCAACCUGUGGCCUGCAUUUGAAACUGUAGUUCUUGAGUACUGGAGAGGCAGACGGAAUUCCUAGUGUAGCGGUGAAAUGCGUAGAUAUUAGGAGGAACACCAGUGGCGAAGGCAGCCUCCUGGGACGCAACUGACGCUCAUACACGAAAGCGUGGGGAGCAAACAGGAUUAGAUACCCGGGUAA